RNAcentral lists this ribosomal RNA (421 nucleotides) under uncultured bacterium. RNAcentral describes it as "bacterial SSU rRNA". It matches the Rfam family "Bacterial small subunit ribosomal RNA", at positions 361 to 773 of the family's 1533-position model. The record is from RNAcentral.
AUUGUUCGCAAUGGGCGCAAGCCUGACGACGCAACGCCGCGUGGAGGAUGAAGAUCUUCGGGUCGUAAACUCCUGUCGAGCGGGACGAAUGCUCCGUGGGUGAAUAUCCCGCGGGGGUGACGGUACCGCUAAAGGAAGCCCCGGCUAACUCCGUGCCAGCAGCCGCGGUAAUACGGAGGGUGCGAGCGUUGUCCGGAAUCACUGGGCGUAAAGGGCGCGUAGGCGGCGCGAGGAGUCGGGGGUGAAAGUCCGGGGCUCAACCCCGGAUCGGCCUUCGAUACUCUCGCGCUGGAGCACAGUAGAGGCGGGUGGAAUUCCGGGUGUAGCGGUGGAAUGCGUAGAGAUCCGGAAGAACACCGGUGGCGAAGGCGGCCCGCUGGGCUGUGGCUGACGCUGAGGCGCGACAGCGUGGGGAGCAAAC